Molecule: ribosomal RNA, 567 nt
Filed under: uncultured bacterium
Lineage: Bacteria
Description: bacterial SSU rRNA
Rfam family: Bacterial small subunit ribosomal RNA
Source: RNAcentral
AGAGUUUGAUCAUGGCUCAGGAUGAACGCUAGCGGCAGGCUUAAUACAUGCAAGUCGAGGGGCAGCAGCUUUAUAGCAAUAUAGAGGCUGGCGACCGGCAAACGGGUGCGGAACACGUACACAACCUUCCUUUAAGUGGGGGAUAGCCCAUAGAAAUGUGGAUUAAUACCCCGUAAUAUUAUUGAAGUGGCAUCACUUUAUAAUUAUAGUUUCGACGCUUGAAGAUGGGUGUGCGGCUGAUUAGGUAGUUGGCGGGGUAAAGGCCCACCAAGCCUUCGAUCAGUAGCUGAUGUGAGAGCAUGAUCAGCCACACGGGCACUGAGACACGGGCCCGACUCCUACGGGAGGCAGCAGUAAGGAAUAUUGGUCAAUGGACGCAAGUCUGAACCACCCAUGCCGCGUGAAGGAUGAAGGUCCUCUGGAUUGUAAACUUCUUUUAUAGGGGGCGAAAAAAGGGAAUUCUUUCUCACUUGACAGUACCCUAUGAAUAAGCACCGGCUAACUCCGUGCCAGCAGCCGCGGUAAUACGGAGGGUGCAAGCGUUAUCCGGAUUCACUGGGUUUAAAG